RNAcentral lists this ribosomal RNA (384 nucleotides) under Triticum aestivum (bread wheat). Its description in RNAcentral is "partial small subunit ribosomal RNA". Lineage: Eukaryota; Viridiplantae; Streptophyta; Magnoliopsida; Poales; Poaceae. The record is from RNAcentral.
AUGGUAAUCAGUGAUUUAAAUGAGAUAAUGUAUUCUUUUGAAAUGGAAGGGGGUAAUGAACGUCCAGAUCAAUUUGUGAAGGCUUUUAGGGAUGCGGUGGAAGACCGUAACUUGUCUGACCAUGGUUUUGUUGGUGAUAAAUUCACCUGGCAUAGAGCUUUGAUCAGGGAGAGGCUAGAUCAUGCUCACACAAAUGAUGGCUAGAAUCAAAUGUUCCCUAGCGCGAUUCUGGAACACUUGGAAUAUAACAAGUCGGAUCACAGACCAAUAAUUAUGAGUUUGCAUGAGGAAGUGGUCCAAGAACCCGUGGAAAGAUCAGUCCUCUGGUUCAAGGCACAUUGGCUGAGAGAAGAAAAGUUCAAAGAGGUGGUAGAAGAAGCUUGA